Molecule: ribosomal RNA, 735 nt
Filed under: Triticum aestivum (bread wheat)
Lineage: Eukaryota; Viridiplantae; Streptophyta; Magnoliopsida; Poales; Poaceae
Description: partial small subunit ribosomal RNA
Source: RNAcentral
AUGGUGAAUUUUAUGAAGAAGCUUGCUAGGAUGGAUGUGGAUAUGAGUGCUAAAGAGAGGCAUUUAUUUUCAGUUGGUUUUAAGAAUACAAUUGGUGCAAGGAGGGCAUCAUGGAGAAUCCUUUCUUCACUUGAGCAAAAGGUGGCAGUGGGUGAGCAGGCUGGCCAGAUGAUAAGUGUUUACAGAAUGAAAGUUGAGGAUGAACUAAGGAUGGUUUGCAAUGAAAUAUUGUCAAUCAUCGCUAUUCAUUGCCUUCCCUUGGCUAAUGCGGGUGAAAACAUUGUGUUCUUUCAUAAAAUGAAAGGUGACUACUACCGUUACCUGGCUGAAUUUAGCAUUGGGGCUGAAAAGAAGUCUGCGGCUGAUCAAUCACUCAUGGCCUAUCAGCAUGCCAUGGUUAUCGCCUCCACUGAGCUUUCACCUGCUCAUCCAAUCAGGCUUGGCCUUGCGCUCAAUUUCUCAGUGUUCUUUUAUGAGAUAAUGAACUUUCAUCAGAGAGCUUGCCAAGUUGCAAAACAAGCAUUUGAUGAGGCUACUACUGAGAUUAAUUCUGCUGGUAUGGACGGCAACAACGAUAGCACACUAAUGAUGCAGCUUCUGAACGACAACCUAGCAUUAUGGAAGUCAGAACUAACUGAAGGUAAAGCCAUCAAAACUUUUUCGCAGGAAUCUACUACUUUACCCCUUGCUUUUUUUGAGGAAUCACCGCGGGGGGGGGGGGGGAUCCCCACCUGA